RNAcentral lists this transfer RNA (98 nucleotides) under Pseudomonas aeruginosa. Its description in RNAcentral is "tRNA-Ala". The record is from RNAcentral. Lineage: Bacteria; Pseudomonadati; Pseudomonadota; Gammaproteobacteria; Pseudomonadales; Pseudomonadaceae.
AGUCAGCGAGGGCGUGGUCGAUGUGCGCCCGGGCGAUGGCAGCGUGCAGCGCCUGCGCGCCGGGCAGGUGCGGGCGUUCCGUGACGGGCGCUGGCUGC